Non-coding RNA from Myotis brandtii (Brandt's bat), 75 nucleotides. The record is from Rfam. NCBI's taxonomy places the organism in Eukaryota, Metazoa, Chordata, Mammalia, Chiroptera, Vespertilionidae.
GGUGAUUCUCGGGAGACGCACCCUGGAAUCGGGCUUCCUCCUCUCUGAUUUCAGGUGCAUCACUAGAGAACCGCA